RNAcentral lists this transfer RNA (68 nucleotides) under Marmota monax (woodchuck). Its description in RNAcentral is "tRNA.Ala". The stretch from base 5 to 65 matches the Rfam family "tRNA", at positions 6 to 65 of the family's 71-position model. Rfam says of the family: Transfer RNA (tRNA) molecules are approximately 80 nucleotides in length. Their secondary structure includes four short double-helical elements and three loops (D, anti-codon, and T loops). The record is from RNAcentral. Lineage: Eukaryota; Metazoa; Chordata; Mammalia; Rodentia; Sciuridae.
GGAUUGUGGCUCAGCGGUAGAGCGCUUGUCUAGCAUGUGUGAGGCCCUGGGUUCGAUCCCCAGCACCA